RNAcentral lists this ribosomal RNA (442 nucleotides) under uncultured bacterium. RNAcentral's name for it is "partial 16S ribosomal RNA". It matches the Rfam family "Bacterial small subunit ribosomal RNA", at positions 338 to 795 of the family's 1533-position model. The record is from RNAcentral.
CCUACGGGUGGCAGCAGUGGGGGAUAUUGGACAAUGGGGGAAACCCUGAUCCAGCGACGCCGCGUGAGUGAAGAAGUAUCUCGGUAUGUAAAGCUCUAUCAGCAGGGAAGAAGAAAUGACGAUACCUGAGAAAGAAGCCCCGGCUAACUCCGUGCCAGCCGCCGCGGUAAUACGUAGGGGGCGAGCGUUAUCCGGAUUUACUGGGUGUACAGGGAGCGUAGACGGUGAUGUAAGUCUGGAGUGAAAGUCGGGGGCCCAACCCCCGGACUGCUCUGGAAACUAUGUGACUGGAGUGCAGGAGAGGCGAGCGGAAUUCCUGGUGUAGCGGUGAAAUGCGUAGAUAUUAGGAGGAACACCAGCGGCGAAGGCGGCCCACUGGACUGUAACUGACGUUGAGGCUCGAAAGCGUGGGGAGCAAACAGGAUUAGAUACCCGGGUAGUC